UCUACGGGAGCUGCAGUGGGGAAUAUUGGACAAUGGGCGAAAGCCUGAUCCAGCCAUGCCGCGUGUGUGAAGAAGGCCUUCGGGUUGUAAAGCACUUUCAGUGGGGAAGAAAGCCUUGGGGCUAAUACCCUCGAGGAAGGACAUCACCCACAGAAGAAGCACCGGCUAACUCCGUGCCAGCAGCCGCGGUAAUACGGAGGGUGCGAGCGUUAAUCGGAAUUACUGGGCGUAAAGCGCGCGUAGGCGGUCUGAUAAGCCGGUUGUGAAAGCCCCGGGCUCAACCUGGGAACGGCAUCCGGAACUGUCAGGCUAGAGUGCAGGAGAGGAAGGUAGAAUUCCCGGUGUAGCGGUGAAAUGCGUAGAGAUCGGGAGGAAUACCAGUGGCGAAGGCGGCCUUCUGGACUGACACUGACGCUGAGGUGCGAAAGCGUGGGUAGCAAACAGGAUUAGAUACCCCUGUAGUC
RNAcentral lists this ribosomal RNA (464 nucleotides) under Vreelandella stevensii. RNAcentral describes it as "partial 16S ribosomal RNA". It matches the Rfam family "Bacterial small subunit ribosomal RNA", at positions 338 to 795 of the family's 1533-position model. The record is from RNAcentral. Lineage: Bacteria; Pseudomonadati; Pseudomonadota; Gammaproteobacteria; Oceanospirillales; Halomonadaceae.